ACGCUCGACACCUACGGGAGGCAGCAGUGGGGAAUAUUGCACAAUGGGGGAAACCCUGAUGCAGCGACGCCGCGUGAGCGAAGAAGUAUUUCGGUAUGUAAAGCUCUAUCAGCAGGGAAGAAACUGACGGUACCUGACUAAGAAGCACCGGCUAAAUACGUGCCGGUAGCCGCGGUAAUCUGAGCGGGCUGGCAAGGC
RNAcentral lists this ribosomal RNA (198 nucleotides) under uncultured bacterium. Its description in RNAcentral is "partial 16S ribosomal RNA". It matches the Rfam family "Bacterial small subunit ribosomal RNA", at positions 328 to 539 of the family's 1533-position model. The record is from RNAcentral.